Molecule: long non-coding RNA, 759 nt
Filed under: Sinocyclocheilus anshuiensis
Lineage: Eukaryota; Metazoa; Chordata; Actinopteri; Cypriniformes; Cyprinidae
Description: lncRNA (ENSSANG00000005108.1)
Source: RNAcentral
CUGUCACGCCCAUUAUCCUCCGGUGCCUCGGCUCAAAUGUCACUAAGUAACUUACACACGAGAUGAAAGGAGCGGCGCGCGGAGCGGGAGCAAAGCUAGGCGUAGAGUAGAGAAACUUCACCUAAAGUAUCGAUCCGAUACCAAUACUAGCGUUGAUUACGAGUGAUCCUCCCACACCUGUCGUGAAGCUUUCGGGAGUAAGCUGCUGGAUUCACUCUUAUGAGUAAGUUAAUGUAACAUAUUUUUAUUCCGAAUCAGACUGAUUUCACUCGAGACGAUUCAAGAUCCGCUGCGGAAAGAGAGGGAAAGUUAAAGCUGCGCUAAUCUUUAUUCUGACGCUUUUCUCUGUUUACAGAUGAUCAGAUGGUGAGAGUAUUUAACACCGGCCUGUCAGCAAUGACCUGAACCCGGACUCCAGCAUUUCUCAUGACACGAUCCUCUGAGAGAUCUGCCUUUACAUGCUGAGAUCCGAUGGAUCCAUGUCAAGAUCCCGAGGGUCCUGUGUUUCAGGGAUGGGAUGGGCCUGCCUUCUCAGAGCAGGACUAUCUGGAUUUAUACACAGCCCUUUCUGACUCCGCAGCCGAUCAGAGGAAUCAGGAGCGGGUGAAGAAUGAGGAAAGCGCUGCAGGAUCAGAGCUGAAGCAGCCUGUUACACACCGUGACGGCGUGAGCAUGGACGCUUGGAGCAUCACUUUAAUUGAUUCCGCACAAGGCAGUAACAGCAGAACUGCAUCGCUCUGCAUGUCAACAUCGCAGUAA